AGCGGGCGGGUGGAUAACGCGUGAGSAUCUGGCUCCAGGUCGGGGAUACGUUGGAAACGACUGCUAAUACCGGAUGUGCCGAGAGGUGAAAGAUUUAUUGCCUGGAGAUGAGCUCGCGUCUGAUUAGCUAGUUGGUGGUGUAAGGGACCACCAAGGCGUCGAUCAGUAGCUGGUCUGAGAGGAUGAUCAGCCACACUGGGACUGAGACACGGCCCAGACUCCUACGGGAGGCAGCAGUGGGGAAUUUUCCGCAAUGGGCGAAAGCCUGACGGAGCAAUACCGCGUGAGGGAGGAAGGCUCUUGGGUCGUAAACCUCUUUUNUCAAGGAAGAAGAAAGUGACGGUACUUGAGGAAUAAGCAUCGGCUAACUCCGUGCCAGCAGCCGCGGUAAUACGGAGGAUGCAAGCGUUAUCCGGAAUGAUUGGGCGUAAAGGGUCUGCAGGUGGAACUGAAAGUCUGCUGUUAAAGAGUUUGGCUUAACCAAAUAAAAGCGGUGGAAACUACAGAACUAGAGUGCGGUAGGGSCAAAAGGAAUUCCUGGUGUAGCGGUGAAAUGCGUAGAUAUCAGGAAGAACACCGGUGGCGAAAGCGUUUUGCUAGACCGUAACUGACACUGAGGGACGAAAGCUAGGGGAGCGAAUGGGAUUAGAUACCCCAGUAGUCCUAGC
RNAcentral lists this ribosomal RNA (668 nucleotides) under Cylindrospermopsis raciborskii. RNAcentral's name for it is "bacterial SSU rRNA". It matches the Rfam family "Bacterial small subunit ribosomal RNA", at positions 97 to 800 of the family's 1533-position model. The record is from RNAcentral. Lineage: Bacteria; Bacillati; Cyanobacteriota; Cyanophyceae; Nostocales; Aphanizomenonaceae.